AUUUCAAAAAUUUUUUUUUUACAACCCGGAAAAUCUUGAUUAUUGUUCUUUUGCCGUAAAAAGUUAAGAGCAUUCACUUAGGGUGAGUAAGAAAUAAGUUGGGGAGAAUCGGUAAGUACCACAACUCUUGAAAAAAAAUGAAAAACCAAGCAAGCAUUGAAAAUAAAAAUAUAGAAAAGAAACAUCUGUUUUGUAAAUAUGAUGUGAAAGAAAAGAACAAAAAUAGAAAGAAUGAAAAUGAAUGCUUGCUUGGAAGAAAAAUAGUGAAAAA
RNAcentral lists this long non-coding RNA (271 nucleotides) under Lathyrus oleraceus (garden pea). Its description in RNAcentral is "Pisum sativum (pea) long non-coding RNA (PSAT_LNC023650)". The record is from RNAcentral. Lineage: Eukaryota; Viridiplantae; Streptophyta; Magnoliopsida; Fabales; Fabaceae.